GUGUCAGCAGCCGCGGUAAUACGAAGGGGGCUAGCGUUGCUCGGAAUUACUGGGCGUAAAGGGAGCGUAGGCGGGUCGUCAAGUUGGGGGUGAAAGCCCAGGGCUCAACCCUGGAACUGCCUUCAAAACUGGCGACCUAGAGUAUGGUAGAGGUGUGUGGAACUCCGAGUGUAGAGGUGAAAUUCGUAGAUAUUCGGAAGAACACCAGUGGCGAAGGCGACACACUGGGCCAUUACUGACGCUGAGGCUCGAAAGCGUGGGGAGCAAACAGGAUUAGAAACCCUCGUAGUCC
RNAcentral lists this ribosomal RNA (292 nucleotides) under uncultured bacterium. RNAcentral describes it as "partial 16S ribosomal RNA". It matches the Rfam family "Bacterial small subunit ribosomal RNA", at positions 505 to 796 of the family's 1533-position model. The record is from RNAcentral.